AGUGAUGAGCUUAAGCGUGGAUCUGCUUUAUAUCUGCAGGAGAUGAAAUUAGGCCUACUGUAUGUCUGGAUCAUCCUUGUAGUAUCAGAUGGUCCCCGCAGGGUUUGGUGCAGGGUUUGGUGCAGGGUUUGGUGCAGGGAAUGGAUGUGGGUGGACUCAGCUUCAUUGUAGAGCAAAAGUCCACCAGCUGACCCGGGACUUCUGCCAGCACACUCUUUGCCAGUGCUUCUCGAGGACCCUGCAGUACGAAAGGAAGAGUUUAAGAAGUACAGUGCAGCGAACAGUGAAGAGACAUUUUUUAAUAAAU
This is a long non-coding RNA of Etheostoma cragini (Arkansas darter), 307 nucleotides long. RefSeq lists it as uncharacterized. The record is from RefSeq and is a predicted model, not a curated record. The transcript is spliced from 3 exons. NCBI's taxonomy places the organism in Eukaryota, Metazoa, Chordata, Actinopteri, Perciformes, Percidae.